Molecule: ribosomal RNA, 285 nt
Filed under: uncultured Amoebophrya
Lineage: Eukaryota; Dinophyceae; Syndiniales
Description: partial Bacterial large subunit ribosomal RNA
Rfam family: Bacterial large subunit ribosomal RNA
Source: RNAcentral
GUAAGUCGGCCCCUAAGGCGAGGCGGAAACGCGUAGUCGAUGGGAAGUCGGUCAAUAUUCCGACACCACGCAUGACUGCGAUGGGGUGACGGAGAAGGCUAGGCCAUCCGGGCGUUGGUUGUCCCGGUUCAAGCGAGUAGGCUGAUUUUUCAGGCAAAUCCGGAGAAUCUAGGCCGAGACGUGAUGACGGUGAGUCCAAGGACUCCGAAGUGGUUGAUGCCAUGCUUCCAAGAAAAGCCUCUAAGCAUCAGGUCAUGGGUGACCGUACCCCAAACCGACACAGGU